This 71-nucleotide transfer RNA is filed under the name Marmota marmota marmota (Alpine marmot). It matches the Rfam family "tRNA". Rfam says of the family: Transfer RNA (tRNA) molecules are approximately 80 nucleotides in length. Their secondary structure includes four short double-helical elements and three loops (D, anti-codon, and T loops). The record is from Rfam by way of RNAcentral. RNAcentral also lists the same sequence under 1 other name. Lineage: Eukaryota; Metazoa; Chordata; Mammalia; Rodentia; Sciuridae.
GGGGCUGUAGCUUAGUGGUAGAGCACUCACCUAGCACGUGCAAGGCACUGGGUUCGAUCCUCAGCACCUCA